GACGAACGCUGGCGGCGUGCUUAACACAUGCAAGUCGAACGGAAAGGCCUGCUUUCCCUUGUGGAUUGCGGGUGCUCGAGUGGCGAACGGGUGAGUAACACGUGAGUGAUCUGCCCCCAACUUGGGUAUAAGCCUGGGAAACUGGGUCUAAUUCCCGAUAGGACUGCAGGGUGGUGCCUGUGGUGGAAAACGAUUUUCUAGUGGUUGGGGAUGAGCUCGCGGCCUAUCAGCUUGUUGGUGGGGUAAUGGCCUACCAAGGCGGCGACGGGUAGCCGGCCUGAGAGGGUGGACGGCCACAUUGGGACUGAGAUACGGCCCAGACUCCUACGGGAGGCAGCAGUGGGGAAUAUUGCACAAUGGGCGGAAGCCUGAUGCAGCGACGCCGCGUGGGGGAUGACGGCCUUCGGGUUGUAAACUCCUUUCGACCGAGAGGAAGCCACCUGGUUGGAAGGGUGGUGACGGUAGUGGUAGAAGAAGCACCGGCUAACUACGUG
RNAcentral lists this ribosomal RNA (494 nucleotides) under uncultured bacterium. RNAcentral describes it as "partial 16S ribosomal RNA". It matches the Rfam family "Bacterial small subunit ribosomal RNA", at positions 28 to 507 of the family's 1533-position model. The record is from RNAcentral.